Molecule: ribosomal RNA, 497 nt
Filed under: uncultured bacterium
Lineage: Bacteria
Description: partial 16S ribosomal RNA
Rfam family: Bacterial small subunit ribosomal RNA
Source: RNAcentral
UAUUAACUCUGGCGGCGUGCCUAAUACAUGCAAGUCGAGCGAACGGACGAGAAGCUUGCUUCUCUGAUGUUAGCGGCGGACGGGUGAGUAACACGUGGAUAACCUACCUAUAAGACUGGGAUAACUUCGGGAAACCGGAGCUAAUACCGGAUAAUAUUUUGAACCGCAUGGUUCAAAAGUGAAAGACGGCCUUGCUGUCACUUAUAGAUGGAUCCGCGCUGCAUUAGCUAGUUGGUAAGGUAACGGCUUACCAAGGCAACGAUGCAUAGCCGACCUGAGAGGGUGAUCGGCCACACUGGAACUGAGACACGGUCCAGACUCCUACGGGAGGCAGCAGUAGGGAAUCUUCCGCAAUGGGCGAAAGCCUGACGGAGCAACGCCGCGUGAGUGAUGAAGGUCUUCGGAUCGUAAAACUCUGUUAUUAGGGAAGAACAUAUGUGUAAGUAACUGUGCACAUCUUGACGGUACCUAAUCAGAAAGCCACGGCUAACUACGUG